ACGAGCCUGACUGCGAGACUGACGGGUCGAGCAGAGACGAAAGUCGGAGUUAGUGAUCCGGUGGUAUGUGAGUGGAAAUGCCAUCGCUCAACGGAUAAAAGUUACCCUGGGGAUAACAGGCUGAUCUCCCCCAAGAGUCCACAUCGACGGGGAGGUUUGGCACCUCGAUGUCGGCUCAUCGCAUCCUGGGGCUGAAUUCGGUCCCAAGGGUUUGGCUGUUCGCCAAUUAAAGCGGUACGCGAGCUGGGUUCAGAACGUCGUGAGACAGUUCGGUCCCUAUCUGUCGUGGGCGCAGGAUAUUUGAAAGGCGCUGUCCCUAGUACGAGAGGACCGGGAUGGACGAACCUCUGGUGCACCAGUUGUCACGCCAGUGGCACAGCUGGGCAGCUAUGUUCGGAUCGGAUAAACGCUGAAAGCAUCUAAGCGUGAAGCCGGCCUUAAGAUAAGAUAUCCCACUGAGUCAAUCAGGUAAGACCCCUUGAAGACUACAAGGUUGAUAGGCACAAUGUGUAAGUGGAGUGAUCCAUUCAGCAAGCGUGUACUAAUAGGUCGAGGGCUUGACCCC
Molecule: ribosomal RNA, 565 nt
Filed under: Subdoligranulum variabile DSM 15176
Lineage: Bacteria; Bacillati; Bacillota; Clostridia; Eubacteriales; Oscillospiraceae
Description: bacterial LSU rRNA
Rfam family: Bacterial large subunit ribosomal RNA
Source: RNAcentral